RNAcentral lists this ribosomal RNA (782 nucleotides) under Salmonella enterica. RNAcentral's name for it is "partial 23S ribosomal RNA". It matches the Rfam family "Bacterial large subunit ribosomal RNA", at positions 2152 to 2925 of the family's 2925-position model. The record is from RNAcentral. Lineage: Bacteria; Pseudomonadati; Pseudomonadota; Gammaproteobacteria; Enterobacterales; Enterobacteriaceae. RNAcentral also lists the same sequence under 1 other name.
AGGCUUUGAAGUGUGGACGCCAGUCUGCAUGGAGCCGACCUUGAAAUACCACCCUUUAAUGUUUGAUGUUCUAACGUGGACCCGUGAUCCGGGUUGCGGACAGUGUCUGGUGGGUAGUUUGACUGGGGCGGUCUCCUCCUAAAGAGUAACGGAGGAGCACGAAGGUUGGCUAAUCCUGGUCGGACAUCAGGAGGUUAGUGCAAUGGCAUAAGCCAGCUUGACUGCGAGCGUGACGGCGCGAGCAGGUGCGAAAGCAGGUCAUAGUGAUCCGGUGGUUCUGAAUGGAAGGGCCAUCGCUCAACGGAUAAAAGGUACUCCGGGGAUAACAGGCUGAUACCGCCCAAGAGUUCAUAUCGACGGCGGUGUUUGGCACCUCGAUGUCGGCUCAUCACAUCCUGGGGCUGAAGUAGGUCCCAAGGGUAUGGCUGUUCGCCAUUUAAAGUGGUACGCGAGCUGGGUUUAGAACGUCGUGAGACAGUUCGGUCCCUAUCUGCCGUGGGCGCUGGAGAACUGAGGGGGGCUGCUCCUAGUACGAGAGGACCGGAGUGGACGCAUCACUGGUGUUCGGGUUGUCAUGCCAAUGGCACUGCCCGGUAGCUAAAUGCGGAAGAGAUAAGUGCUGAAAGCAUCUAAGCACGAAACUUGCCCCGAGAUGAGUUCUCCCUGAGACUUUAGGUCUCCUGAAGGAACGUUGAAGACGACGACGUUGAUAGGCCGGGUGUGUAAGCGCAGCGAUGCGUUGAGCUAACCGGUACUAAUGAACCGUGAGGCUUAACCUUACA